This 394-nucleotide long non-coding RNA is filed under the name Triticum aestivum (bread wheat). Its description in RNAcentral is "long non-coding RNA (TAES_LNC003864)". Lineage: Eukaryota; Viridiplantae; Streptophyta; Magnoliopsida; Poales; Poaceae. The record is from RNAcentral.
GCUGCUACAGGACAUAUAUGCACAUCGGAAUCUCACUGACAAAAUACAGGAGUAGUACAGUCUACACCGACCACCAAGUCAAUCAACCUCUAGUCUACUAGUAUAUGGUAUAAUACACAUGGAUCUGACAGAAACACGAUCACUAAUUGGCUACUGCUACUACUAAAAUAUGUAUAUAUGCAUGUGACACCCUGGCUUGAUGCAGAACGAACCGAGCGAGGAAUAUGUUUACACGGUUGAUGGACACCAACUAGUCGGAUACUCAUCAGAUGUUCCUGUCCGGUUGACUGCUUGAGGCGCAGAUCUUCCUGUCCGGUUGACUGCUUGAGGCGCAGAUCAUGUCCUCCGACGCCUGCCAGAGCCGCGCGGCCUCGCGGCGGCUUGCGGCGGCCGG